Molecule: unclassified non-coding RNA, 557 nt
Filed under: Hevea brasiliensis (rubber tree)
Lineage: Eukaryota; Viridiplantae; Streptophyta; Magnoliopsida; Malpighiales; Euphorbiaceae
Source: RNAcentral
CCUGCCACCUCCAUAGUUUCCUCGGCCUCUUACUCCAUAGUUCCUGUAACCAGAUCCCCCUCCAGAUUGAAAUCUACCUCUAAAGUGACCUCGAUAAUUGGUAGACUUCUUCUCCUCAACAUAAGCUUGACGUCCUCCAAUUAAAAUUGGAGAUGCCUCAAUAGCUUUCUGCAAAGCACUUGCCUCCUCAAAUUCCACGAAACCAUAAGAAAACCGUUGCAGUCUAUUAUUUUUAACUUGAAUGCCUCCAUUCUUUAUAGGCCCAAACUUCUUGAACUCAUCAGCAAGUAAGUCCACAGUUGCAGUCGGAGGCAGACCUUUUACGUAGAUUGAAUAGCCAUCUGUGACUUCUCCAUCCUGGUUAUUCACAUUAUCAACAGAAUUUGAGCUGGAAGCUGGGCGAACAGUUGCUGUUACAGGAGGUUGAUUCACUUGCUCAACAUUCCUUGCCAUGGGCUUCCGAGAAGCAGGUGCUGGAGGAGAGGAGAAACUCGCAGCACUUCCCUUGAGAUGCAUGACCUGGAAGAAAGUUACAAACUAUUUUAGCAUAAGAAAAG